AGUGAACGCUGGCGGUAGGCCUAACACAUGCAAGUCGAACGGCAGCACAGUAAGAGCUUGCUCUUACGGGUGGCGAGUGGCGGACGGGUGGGGAAUACAUCGGAAUCUACUUUUUCGUGGGGGAUAACGUAGGGAAACUUACGCUAAUACCGCAUACGACCUACGGGUGAAAGCAGGGGAUCUUCGGACCUUGCGCGACUGAAUGAGCCGACGUCGGAUUAGCUAGUUGGCGGGGUAAAGGCCCACCAAGGCGACGAUCCGUAGCUGGUCUGAGAGGAUGAUCAGCCACACUGGAACUGAGACACGGUCCAGACUCCUACGGGAGGCAGCAGUGGGGAAUAUUGGACAAUGGGCGCAAGCCUGAUCCAGCCAUACCGCGUGGGUGAAGAAGGCCUUCGGGUUGUAAAGCCCUUUUGUUGGGGAAGAAAAGCAGCAGGUUAAUACCCCGCUGUUCUGACGGUACCCAAAGAAUAAGCACCGGCUAACUUCGUG
This 492-nucleotide ribosomal RNA is filed under the name uncultured bacterium. RNAcentral describes it as "partial 16S ribosomal RNA". It matches the Rfam family "Bacterial small subunit ribosomal RNA", at positions 29 to 507 of the family's 1533-position model. The record is from RNAcentral.